This 1343-nucleotide ribosomal RNA is filed under the name uncultured bacterium. RNAcentral describes it as "16S ribosomal RNA". It matches the Rfam family "Bacterial small subunit ribosomal RNA", at positions 28 to 1378 of the family's 1533-position model. The record is from RNAcentral.
GACGAACGCUGGCGGCGUGCUUAACACAUGCAAGUCGAACGGAAAGGCCCUGCUUUUGUGGGGUGCUCGAGUGGCGAACGGGUGAGUAACACGUGAGUAACCUGCCCUUGACUUUGGGAUAACUUCAGGAAACUGGGGCUAAUACCGGAUAGGAGCUCCUGCUGCAUGGUGGGGGUUGGAAAGUUUCGGCGGUUGGGGAUGGACUCGCGGCUUAUCAGCUUGUUGGUGGGGUAGUGGCUUACCAAGGCUUUGACGGGUAGCCGGCCUGAGAGGGUGACCGGCCACAUUGGGACUGAGAUACGGCCCAGACUCCUACGGGAGGCAGCAGUGGGGAAUAUUGCACAAUGGGCGGAAGCCUGAUGCAGCAACGCCGCGUGCGGGAUGACGGCCUUCGGGUUGUAAACCGCUUUCGCCUGUGACGAAGCGUGAGUGACGGUAAUGGGUAAAGAAGCACCGGCUAACUACGUGCCAGCAGCCGCGGUGAUACGUAGGGUGCGAGCGUUGUCCGGAUUUAUUGGGCGUAAAGGGCUCGUAGGUGGUUGAUCGCGUCGGAAGUGUAAUCUUGGGGCUUAACCCUGAGCGUGCUUUCGAUACGGGUUGACUUGAGGAAGGUAGGGGAGCAUGGAAUUCCUGGUGGAGCGGUGGAAUGCGCAGAUAUCAGGAGGUACACCAGUGGCGAAGGCGGUUCUCUGGGCCUUUCCUGACGCUGAGGAGCGAAAGCGUGGGGAGCGAACAGGCUUAGAUACCCUGGUAGUCCACGCUGUAAACGGUGGGUACUAGGUGUGGGGUCCAUUCCACGGGUUCCGUGCCGUAGCUAACGCUUUAAGUACCCCGCCUGGGGAGUACGGCCGCAAGGCUAAAACUCAAAGGAAUUGACGGGGCCCCGCACAAGCGGCGGAGCAUGCGGAUUAAUUCGAUGCAACGCGUAGAACCUUACCUGGGUUUGACAUGGAUCGGGAGUGCUCAGAGAUGGGUGUGCCUCUUUUGGGGUCGGUUCACAGGUGGUGCAUGGCUGUCGUCAGCUCGUGUCGUGAGAUGUUGGGUUAAGUCCCGCAACGAGCGCAACCCUUGUUCACUGUUGCCAGCACGUUAUGGUGGGGACUCAGUGGAGACCGCCGGGGUCAACUCGGAGGAAGGUGGGGAUGACGUCAAGUCAUCAUGCCCCUUAUGUCCAGGGCUUCACGCAUGCUACAAUGGCUGGUACAGAGAGUGGCGAGCCUGUGAGGGUGAGCGAAUCUCGGAAAGCCGGUCUCAGUUCGGAUUGGGGUCUGCAACUCGACCUCAUGAAGUCGGAGUCGCUAGUAAUCGCAGAUCAGCAACGCUGCGGUGAAUACGUUCCCGGG